CCUACGGGGAGCAGCAGUCGAGAAUCAUUCACAAUGGGGGAAACCCUGAUGGUGCGACGCCGCGUGGGGGAAUGAAGGUCUUCGGAUUGUAAACCCCUGUCAUGUGGGAGCAAAUUAAAAAGAUAGUACCACAAGAGGAAGAGACGGCUAACUCUGUGCCAGCAGCCGCGGUAAUACAGAGGUCUCAAGCGUUGUUCGGAAUCACUGGGCGUAAAGCGUGCGUAGGCUGUUUCGUAAGUCGUGUGUGAAAGGCGCGGGCUCAACCCGCGGACGGCACAUGAUACUGCGAGACUAGAGUAAUGGAGGGGGAACCGGAAUUCUCGGUGUAGCAGUGAAAUGCGUAGAUAUCGAGAGGAACACUCGUGGCGAAGGCGGGUUACUGGACAUUAACUGACGCUGAGGCACGAAGGCCAGGGGAGCGAAAGGGAUUAGAUACCCUGGUAGUC
This 446-nucleotide ribosomal RNA is filed under the name uncultured bacterium. RNAcentral describes it as "partial 16S ribosomal RNA". It matches the Rfam family "Bacterial small subunit ribosomal RNA", at positions 338 to 795 of the family's 1533-position model. The record is from RNAcentral.